AUUCUACUCAUCUACAUCCGUAUACGAAGCUAAUCUGCAAAUCCUCUACGGUAAGAAAUGAGAAUUGCAAUUAACAUUCUCUUAUUCCUCUAAUGGUGUGCAUUCCUCUUUCUUUCUCUCCUUUCUCAUAUGAAGUGCAUCUUGAUUAUCUAUAUUUUUUUAUGCAGAAUCUGUAAUCUAACAUACAUACUACAGCAUCGAUUAUCGCUUUUAAAGUAGAGAGCUCGGCAUGGGCGGCAUUGGAAAUAAACAUGUGAGUCAAUUGCUGAAUUCUUUUUCCUCUUGAAUACUACUUAUUACUAAUUUUGGAACUAUUUUAUAAGAUUAGUUUAAACUCUUAUGAAUUUUGCAGCAAUUUAUAUAAAUUAAAUGCUAAAUCUAUAAAUUUUGGUGUAUUUGAAGAAAUUACUGACUGUUAAAAUAUAACUAAUAAAAUAUAUAGUUAUGGUGGGAUUCAAAUUUGCAAGAAGAAAGAAAGAUUGUGAAUUUGAUAAGCUACCAUCGUCCACAAGGUAAGAUACCCAUCACUUAUCUUGUUCGGUUGUUGAUGUUCGAAAUGUUUUUAAUUUUUUUAAAGAGAUCUAUCUUGUAUGGAUAUUGUUGAUGUUCCAAAUGUUUUUAUGAGAUUUAUCUUGUUUGGAUAUUGUUGAUGUUCCAAAUGUUUUUAUGAGAUUUAUCUUGUUUGGAUAUUGUUAACGUUCUAAAUGUUUUUAAAGAGAUACUAUCAUUGGAGUUAUCGAUUUGCACUUGCUUCUUCUUCCCCACUAUGAAGAGGAUCACAAUAGGAAAAUAUUGGAAGCUAUCGAUUGACAUUUGGCGAGUGGUUGAGAUGGGGAGAGCGCAAUUGGAUAAUCGAGUGCAUGAAUUAAAAUGAAUGAACAAAAUGAAGUGCAUGAAUUAAAAUGUAUAAUAAAAUGAAGAAUCUCUUACAUUUUUCAAGCUUAUAAUUGAUCAUUGAUUAAAACAGGUAGUAUAAUAAAUUUCGAAAUUGAAACAAGUAAAUCAAGUUCUAGAAACUGCUUAAAAUGGAAUCAUGCAUGUUUGUAUUGACAUAUUUAUUAAUUUUUCACUAAUGCAAUCUGUUACCAUUGCAUAACAACAUUUUGCAUUACACAUUCUCCUCCAGCUUUCAUACUAUUGUCAUUUAAAAAUUGAACUCGACAUCUUAAUUACGCAUAUUAUUCUUCUUUCAUUAUUUCAUUAUCAAUAGUAACAUUUUUGUUCUUCAAUCUUAGUGAGUGAAAAAUACUUUCUUAAAAAGAUAUUCUUAAUAUGAUGCAAUUUCAGUUGAUAAGAUUAUGGGUGAUCUAUGAUAUGGAUGUGAUUUUGAUUGGGGGCUAUUGAUGAUCGCCAUUUGUACAAAUCCAUUUUCAUGAAGAAAAAUGUGAGAUAUUUGUCGAAAUUGAGCGGGAUGGAGAAAGAUAUUGUUGAAUUGUCUCUUCUAUAAGCCUAAAAGAGACAUUGAGUAACACUUAAAUAUUUAAGUGAGAUCGAGCAUAUGACUUUGAUUACCAUAGUUAUGUGUGACUAAUGUUUUAUUUCAUUUUCUAUAGUUUCAAUGUGGUUGCAUAUGCCGAACAAUUCUUUUUGUCAUUUUCAGUAAUAUCUAUCAUAAACAGUGGUUAAUCAAUGUUCUAUUAUUGUUUUUUUAGCGUGGCUUGUAGACUUAUGAAAGAGGUGAUAUAAAAUGUUGUGAAAUUUAAUAUCAAUGUUUAUUGUCAUGAAGGCAUUUUAGAUGACAUCCGAGCUACACUAAUAUACUUCACUACUAUACUUUGGAGAUGAUGUAUUUAAGAAAUUUGUUAAUUAAAUCAUGCUUCUGUCAAUAUCUAGCACUUCCCAAAGUAUUACAAAAACGUAUGCCAACACUUUAUUGUGUAAUUUUACAUCAAAUGAAAUUUACUAAUGAAGAUCCUAUUAGAUGGUAGACCUAUUCGAUUUAGUUGGUUUGAAUUUGCAUUAGUGACGAGCUUGACAUUUGACAGUACAUCUUUUAUUCCAUAUGGUUUACAUGGAGAAAUUGAAGCUCAAACUUAUUUCGGAUUGGUUGUGGGUUUUGGUGGGGAUGAAAAAGCUUGUGAAUCAUUUUCUUGUGGGAAUUAUACUUUUAAAAAGCUAUUGUACUUUUUUUCUAUUGUACUUUUUGAAGAGCAUAACUAAACCACUUGCUUGGCACAACAAAGCGAGAGCCUACACUUUUUUUGGUUUAGCACAACCUUUAUUGUAUGUUUAUGUCUCUUUAAAUUAUACUAAUCGUCAUAAUAGUGUGUUAACACAAAGACAUAACACUCCAAAAGCCAGUAAAAAUCAGAAAUAAUUAACACGAAAAUUAAAAUUAUAACAAUGAAUUAAGAGAUAUACACCCCUAAUUAUACCUCUCCCUUUCUCUCUCCUUCCUCUCUCAAUCGCUCUCUUUCCCUCUCAAGACCAUAGCUUCCCGCUGCCGCCUCAAGACCACAGCCUCCGUCGUUCAACGCUACGGCGCCGUCUUCCCCUCGCCCUCUCCGCCUCGUUCUCACCUUCACUCCCGUCUCGAUUUAGAUCUAUAAGAAAAAGGUCGCAAGGACACACCCAUGCAAUGAAGCAACCACAUCUACUUCAUAGAUGCACGAUUCAGAGCCCACAAAGCAGAAGACAAGAAACAAAAACCAUACCACCUCCAGAUUUCAGACACCAUCGUCUUAGACAGGAUACACCAUCUAAGAGACAGAAGUAAUACACCCCUCACAACAUAGAUUGGAAUAAUUUUGCUCAAAUUGUGAGUUCUCAGCUAUUCACCUGCAGAUCUGGAAAACACUCCAAAAUUGUAAUGGCUCAUACUUAAUUUAGAAUUCGAAUUGCCACAUCCCAAUUUUCUUGAUUCUGAGAUGAUUAUAGUUAGUGGAAGAUGUUGUGUUUAAGGUAGACAGCAUGGCUAAGAAAUUUCUCCCCAUGUAUACUAAUUCUAGUAUUGCUUUGUUUAGGGUGUAUUACCUAUAGGGCAAACAGUAGCAUUAAAAAAGGUUUUCUUUACCAUGGCUUGAUCACAAUGAGUUCAAAAAUGAGAUUUUUUUGACUUACUUAUUGUGUUUCUUACAGUCGAAGAAAGUUGGGAGCUGUUGCAGAAUGCACUCCUGAAUUGGAAAAUGUCGGAUGAGAAAUUGCAGAAAAAUGUAAUGGAAAGCCUCUUGAUAUGUUGAUAUAUAGUGCUGGAGGCAUCCUCGCUCUAAUUUCUUUAGGCUCAAAGACAUCUUAGAAAGAGGAAAGACUGAAUAAAAGUGUCUAAAAACUUGAGCAGGAAGUCCAAUAAAUCACAUCUGUGAGAUAAUUUUACCUUACCACUUGCGACUGCGAGCCUGC
Molecule: long non-coding RNA, 3339 nt
Filed under: Salvia miltiorrhiza (redroot sage)
Lineage: Eukaryota; Viridiplantae; Streptophyta; Magnoliopsida; Lamiales; Lamiaceae
Description: long non-coding RNA (SMIL_LNC007090)
Source: RNAcentral